UUCAUACAUUACAGUUUAAGUUUACGUUUUGAUUCUGCAAAACUGUCUUCUGCGCUUUUACGAACGAAGUUUCUAAGUUCAGAUCCCUUUAAAACUGUGUUUUAGACGUAAACUACUUUUAAACGUAAAACUACGUUUAGACGUAAAACUGCGUUUAGACGCAAAACUACGUUUAGACAUAAAACUGCGUUUAGACGCAAACUGCGUUUAGACGUAAAACUACGUUUAGACGUAAAACUGCGUUUAGACACAAACUGCGUUUAGACGUAAAACUAUGUUUAGACGUAAAAAUGUGUUUAGACGUAAAACUGCGUUUAGACGCAAACUGCACUGCGCUUAGACGCAAUCUGAUCUUAGACGCAAACUGCGCUUAGAUGCAAUCUGCAUUUAGACACAAACUGCAUUUAGACGCAAACUGCGUAAACUACGCUUAGACGCAAACUGUGUUUAGACAUAAACUGCACUUAAUCAUAAGUAUUCUUAGAAUCGGCUUUUGCAUCAAAAUAGUUUUUAUCAAACGAACGCAGCUUUCGUUUUUAAUCGCUGAAAGAUUUCCGCUGCACUAAUUCACCCCCCCCCC
This 580-nucleotide long non-coding RNA is filed under the name Musa acuminata (dwarf banana). RNAcentral describes it as "long non-coding RNA (MACU_LNC000543)". The record is from RNAcentral. Lineage: Eukaryota; Viridiplantae; Streptophyta; Magnoliopsida; Zingiberales; Musaceae.